This 585-nucleotide ribosomal RNA is filed under the name Aspergillus sp. BAB-5910. RNAcentral's name for it is "eukaryotic LSU rRNA". The stretch from base 202 to 355 matches the Rfam family "5.8S ribosomal RNA". The record is from RNAcentral. Lineage: Eukaryota; Fungi; Ascomycota; Eurotiomycetes; Eurotiales; Aspergillaceae.
ACCUGCGGAAGGAUCAUUACCGAGUGUAGGGUUCCUAGCGAGCCCAACCUCCCACCCGUGUUUACUGUACCUUAGUUGCUUCGGCGGGCCCGCCAUUCGUGGCCGCCGGGGGCUCUCAGCCCCGGGCCCGCGCCCGCCGGAGACACCACGAACUCUGUCUGAUCUAGUGAAGUCUGAGUUGAUUGUAUCGCAAUCAGUUAAAACUUUCAACAAUGGAUCUCUUGGUUCCGGCAUCGAUGAAGAACGCAGCGAAAUGCGAUAACUAGUGUGAAUUGCAGAAUUCCGUGAAUCAUCGAGUCUUUGAACGCACAUUGCGCCCCCUGGUAUUCCGGGGGGCAUGCCUGUCCGAGCGUCAUUGCUGCCCAUCAAGCACGGCUUGUGUGUUGGGUCGUCGUCCCCUCUCCGGGGGGGACGGGCCCCAAAGGCAGCGGCGGCACCGCGUCCGAUCCUCGAGCGUAUGGGGCUUUGUCACCCGCUCUGUAGGCCCGGCCGGCGCUUGCCGAACGCAAAUCAAUCUUUUUCCAGGUUGACCUCGGAUCAGGUAGGGAUACCCGCUGAACUUAAGCAUAUCAAUAAGCGGAGGAA